Molecule: ribosomal RNA, 253 nt
Filed under: uncultured bacterium
Lineage: Bacteria
Description: partial 16S ribosomal RNA
Rfam family: Bacterial small subunit ribosomal RNA
Source: RNAcentral
UACAGAGGGUACAAACGUUGCUCGGAAUCACUGGGCUUAAAGCGCACGUAGGUGGUUCGGUAAGUGCGAUGUGAAAGCCCCCGGCCCAACCGGGGAACUGCAUCGCAGACUGCCGAGCUUGAGAGCGGUAGGGGAGACUAGAACUCCUGGUGGAGCGGUGAAAUGCGUAGAUAUCAGGAGGAAUACCGGUGGCGAAGGCGAGUCUCUGGUCCGCUUCUGACACUUAGGUGCGAAAGCUAGGGGAGCAAACGGG